UUCUCUGUUAAAGGGGUGAUAGAAUGCAAAACCGAUUUUACCAAGCCGUAGUUGAAUAACGACAGUUUGGUGGGUAAAUAGGACAUACAUAGAACCUCAAAAUUAGAUUGACAUCUCUUUCCUCUGCAAGA
Etheostoma cragini (Arkansas darter) is the source of this 131-nucleotide long non-coding RNA. RefSeq lists it as uncharacterized. Lineage: Eukaryota; Metazoa; Chordata; Actinopteri; Perciformes; Percidae. The transcript has 4 exons. The record is from RefSeq and is a predicted model, not a curated record.